CUACGGGGCGCAGCAGUAGGGAAUCUUGCGCAAUGGGCGAAAGCCUGACGCAGCCAUGCCGCGUGAAUGAUGAAGGUCUUAGGAUUGUAAAAUUCUUUCACCGGGGAAGAUAAUGACGGUACCCGGAGAAGAAGCCCCGGCUAACUUCGUGCCAGCAGCCGCGGUAAUACGAAGGGGGCUAGCGUUGCUCGGAAUUACUGGGCGUAAAGGGCGCGUAGGCGGACAGUUUAGUCAGAGGUGAAAGCCCAGGGCUCAACCUUGGAAUUGCCUUUGAUACUGGCUGUCUUGAGUUCGGGAGAGGUGAGUGGAAUGCCGAGUGUAGAGGUGAAAUUCGUAGAUAUUCGGCGGAACACCAGUGGCGAAGGCGACUCACUGGCCCGAUACUGACGCUGAGGCGCGAAAGCGUGGGGAGCAAACAGGAUUAGAUACCCUAGUAGUC
RNAcentral lists this ribosomal RNA (439 nucleotides) under uncultured bacterium. Its description in RNAcentral is "partial 16S ribosomal RNA". It matches the Rfam family "Bacterial small subunit ribosomal RNA", at positions 339 to 795 of the family's 1533-position model. The record is from RNAcentral.